RNAcentral lists this unclassified non-coding RNA (210 nucleotides) under Hevea brasiliensis (rubber tree). The record is from RNAcentral. Lineage: Eukaryota; Viridiplantae; Streptophyta; Magnoliopsida; Malpighiales; Euphorbiaceae.
UCUCCAUCAAAUUGAAGAACGUCUGUUGAUUGUCUCCUAUCAAAACAAUCUCAUUCAGUACUUUGAUAUCCUAAAUGGGUUCAUUAAUAUAAGGAUCUGUUUCGUUUCAGUGAACAACAUUAUUUUAUGGCAAGCAUGCAUAACUGUAUAGGUUGAUCCAAACCAUGUUGCUGUCCAUCAUUUGCUUAUAUUAACGUCAUUAGCUGUAAG